CCUACGGGCGGCAGCAGUAGGGAAUAUUGCUCAAUGGGGGAAACCCUGAAGCAGCAACGCCGCGUGGAGGAUGAAGGUUUUCGGAUUGUAAACUCCUUUUGUUAGAGAAGAUAAUGACGGUCUCUAACGAAUAAGCACCGGCUAACUCCGGGCCAGCAGCCGCGGUAAUACGGAGGGUGCAAGCGUUACUCGGAAUCACUGGGCGUAAAGGGCUCUUAGGCGGGAUAGCAAGUCCAAUGUGAAAUCCUAUGGCGUAACCAUAGAACUGCAUUUGAAACUGUUAUUCUAGAGUAUGCGAGAGGUAUGUGGAAUGCGUGGUGUAGGGGUAAAAUCCGUAGAGAUCAAGAAGAAUACUCAUUGCGAAGGCGACAUGCUAGAACAUAACUGACGCUGAUGCGCGAAAGCGUGGGGAGCGAACAGGAUUAGAUACCCGUGUAGUC
This 440-nucleotide ribosomal RNA is filed under the name uncultured bacterium. RNAcentral's name for it is "partial 16S ribosomal RNA". It matches the Rfam family "Bacterial small subunit ribosomal RNA", at positions 338 to 795 of the family's 1533-position model. The record is from RNAcentral.